AGUGAACGCUGGCGGCGUGCUUAACACAUGCAAGUCGAACGAGAACGGGUUAUAGCUUGCUAUAAUUGUCAGCUAAGUGGCGCACGGGUGAGUAAUGUAUAGGUAAUAUGCCUCUUACUAAGGGAUAACAAUGGAAACGUUUGCUAAUACCUUAUACUCCUUAUUAACAGAAGUUAAUAAGGGAAAUAUUUAUUGGUAAGAGAUUAGCCUGUAUUGUAUCAGUUAGUUGGUGGGGUAAUGGCUUACCAAGACUAUGACACAUAACUGGUUUGAGAGGAUGAUCAGUCACACUGGAACUGAGACACGGUCCAGGCUCCUACGGGAGGCAGCAGUGGGGAAUAUUGCACAAUGGACGAAAGUCUGAUGCAGCAACGCCGCGUGGAGGAUGACACAUUUCGGUGCGUAAACUCCUUUUAUAUGAGAAGAUAAUGACGGUAUUAUAUGAAUAAGCACCGGCUAACUCCGUGCCAGCCGCCGCAGUAA
Molecule: ribosomal RNA, 483 nt
Filed under: uncultured bacterium
Lineage: Bacteria
Description: partial 16S ribosomal RNA
Rfam family: Bacterial small subunit ribosomal RNA
Source: RNAcentral